UGCAGUCGAGCGGUAACAGGGGGUGCUUGCACCCCGCUGACGAGCGGCGGACGGGUGAGUAAUGCUUAGGAAUCUGCCCAGUAGUGGGGGAUAGCCCGGGGAAACCCGGAUUAAUACCGCAUACGUCCUACGGGAGAAAGCAGGGGAUCUUCGGACCUUGCGCUAUUGGAUGAGCCUAAGUCGGAUUAGCUAGUUGGUGGGGUAAAGGCCUACCAAGGCGACGAUCCGUAGCUGGUCUGAGAGGAUGAUCAGCCACAUCGGGACUGAGACACGGCCCGAACUCCUACGGGAGGCAGCAGUGGGGAAUAUUGGACAAUGGGGGCAACCCUGAUCCAGCCAUGCCGCGUGUGUGAAGAAGGCUUUCGGGUUGUAAAGCACUUUCAGCGAGGAGGAAGGCCUUAAAGUUAAUACCUUUGAGGAUUGACGUUACUCGCAGAAGAAGCACCGGCUAACUCCGUGCCAGCAGCCGCGGUAAUACGGAGGGUGCAAGCGUUAAUCGGAAUUACUGGGCGUAAAGCGCGCGUAGGUGGUUAGGUAAGCGAGAUGUGAAAGCCCCGGGCUUAACCUGGGAACGGCAUUUCGAACUGUCUGACUAGAGUGUGGUAGAGGGUAGUGGAAUUUCCUGUGUAGCGGUGAAAUGCGUAGAUAUAGGAAGGAACACCAGUGGCGAAGGCGGCUACCUGGACCAACACUGACACUGAGGUGCGAAAGCGUGGGGAGCAGACAGGAUUAGAUACCCUGGUAGUCCACGCC
RNAcentral lists this ribosomal RNA (753 nucleotides) under Marinobacter alkaliphilus. Its description in RNAcentral is "bacterial SSU rRNA". It matches the Rfam family "Bacterial small subunit ribosomal RNA", at positions 56 to 801 of the family's 1533-position model. Lineage: Bacteria; Pseudomonadati; Pseudomonadota; Gammaproteobacteria; Pseudomonadales; Marinobacteraceae. The record is from RNAcentral.